This 435-nucleotide ribosomal RNA is filed under the name uncultured bacterium. RNAcentral describes it as "bacterial SSU rRNA". It matches the Rfam family "Bacterial small subunit ribosomal RNA", at positions 28 to 467 of the family's 1533-position model. The record is from RNAcentral.
GAUGAACGCUAGCGGCAGGCUUAACACAUGCAAGUCGAGGGGUAUAGUUCUUCGGAACUAGAGACCGGCGCACGGGUGCGUAACGCGUAUGCAAUCUACCUUUUGCAGAGGGAUAGCCCAGAGAAAUUUGGAUUAAUACCUCAUAGUAUAGCAGUUUCGCAUGAAACCACUAUUAAAGUCACAACGGCAAAAGAUGAGCAUGCGUCCCAUUAGCUAGUUGGUAAGGUAACGGCUUACCAAGGCUACGAUGGGUAGGGUCCUGAGAGGGAGAUCCCCCANACUGGUACUGAGACACGGACCAGACUCCUACGGGAGGCAGCAGUGAGGAAUAUUGGACAAUGGGCGCAAGCCUGAUCCAGCCAUGCCGCGUGCAGGAUGACGGUCCUAUGGAUUGUAAACUGCUUUANACAGGAAGAAACACUCCGACGUGUCGGA